GCCUGGGUGGCUAAGGUGGUAAAGCGUCUGACUUCAGCUCAGGUCAGGAUCUCACGGUUUGUGAGUUCGAGUCCUGCCUCAGGCU
This 85-nucleotide transfer RNA is filed under the name Felis catus (domestic cat). It matches the Rfam family "tRNA". From Rfam's summary of the family: Transfer RNA (tRNA) molecules are approximately 80 nucleotides in length. Their secondary structure includes four short double-helical elements and three loops (D, anti-codon, and T loops). The record is from Rfam by way of RNAcentral. RNAcentral also lists the same sequence under 3 other names. Lineage: Eukaryota; Metazoa; Chordata; Mammalia; Carnivora; Felidae.